Molecule: long non-coding RNA, 318 nt
Organism: Passer domesticus (house sparrow)
Lineage: Eukaryota; Metazoa; Chordata; Aves; Passeriformes; Passeridae
Exons: 3
Source: RefSeq, a predicted model, not a curated record
GUCACAAACCAGGGUCUGCCCUUAUAAACCCAGGAAAUACCAAUCCAUUUAUAUCUCAUCGUCUUAACCCUGAACUUCUGGCUGCUGACUUUGGCACUUUAUUCCAGCUCUAACCAACCACAGUAAAAAGACACACGCCUGAGCUGCUCCGGUGCAGAGUGGCAGAGGACUCGUUCACAAAGCUCCAGCCCAGCUGACAGAAAAGUUAAGAUGCAACCUGUAAAGUCAAAGGAAAUGUUCUCAAAUCUUCUAUGUUGCUCCUCCAUGCAGCACCUGUAAGUACCUUCUAAAAUAUUUUGAUGCAAAUGCAAAUCUGCC